This is a long non-coding RNA of Tympanuchus pallidicinctus (lesser prairie-chicken), 2310 nucleotides long. RefSeq lists it as uncharacterized. The record is from RefSeq and is a predicted model, not a curated record. The transcript is spliced from 4 exons. Lineage: Eukaryota; Metazoa; Chordata; Aves; Galliformes; Phasianidae.
UCUCUUCAGCUGCUCUCCACUUGUGUUUUUCUGUCUUACCUGUCUUGGCUCCCCUCCCUUUCUGCUCUUCUCCUUGUCUGCACGUCUUUCUUACCUUCAUCCUCUCUUUUAUGCUUCUGCUCUCCUCUUCUGCUCAUCUCCUCAUUGCUUUGCUGUCUUGCCUGUAUCCAACCGUUUUCUCUAUUGCACUUUUCAUUCUUCCCCACUUCUUUCUUACCUGCAUCCUUUCUUCUUCUUCUUUUCUUCUGCUCUUGUUUAUUUUUGCCCUGUAUUUAUCUGCAUGCUCUGUACACAGAGCAGGCAUCACCCACUGAGAGCUGGGAGCCCUUCACUGCGUCCCGGAUUUGUUUUCCUUCCUUGUUGGAGCGUGAUUCUUUGCAGGUGCUGUGUGCAUUUGAAGUAAUUGUGAACUGAGCUGAGACAACAGGUGUGUUAGAGAGUCCCCAAAUCCUUAGUUUAGUGAGGGCCUUCUUUCUCCAUCUCUCAGUUGUUUUUCUUCUUUUCUCUCUGUUAGCACGGCAUACCUGGCCCACCAGACAAUCCAGCAGGGAGUGGUACCUUCUUUGCCAUGCACAAGCAUUAUCGCCUUCUGCAGUGGUCAGCAAAAGGGGCGUGUGUGUGGGGCGUGUGGCACAGAGGCAGGCUGGCAUGGGCAGUGCAAAGGCAGGCUAUUAGCAUGUUGCAAAACAAAAGCAGGUAGGGGCAUGCGACGCUGUUGCAAUUUGUUGUGUGCAGUGCAAAAGCAGGUGAGAGCUUGCGAAGCUGUGGCAAGUGGGGGCAUGGACUCCACCUGCUGGUAUGACAGAGCUGAAGAUGCCUGAGCUGUGCAAGAGCUUUGAGAGGUGGAUGGGGAGUUCUUGACCAAGGAAGAGCCCUGUGGUCCUUGCCUCUGGGGAGAGGGUGGGAUUGCUGAAGGGAGAGGGGAUUCUGUGAGUGAUCUGAGGGGUGUAGGAAGGGAACCGACAGGUUUAGGGUUCCUUUGCCGUGCUCUGCCCAGGCUGUGACAGUGCUGGGGUUGGUUUUUGAGUCACUCUGAAGACAAAAUGAGACAAAGGUUAUUUUGCGCAGCCUGAAACCCUGCAACUCUGCUCUGCCUCCAUGACUGCUGACCACGCUCUUCCCUUCUCCGCAGUGACCACGGCCAGCCCCAUGAAGACCCACGUCCGAUGGCUGUCUGUCUGCACUGCCCAUGGCUGUGAUGGAUGAGGCUACCUCAUGUCCCCUCCACCUGCCAGGCAUCCAAGCUUCCUCCUGCUCCACCAGCUCUCCCACUGGCUGCGACACCUUUGCCACCUCCCGUGUCGUGUGGUGGCAAUGCAUGGUGCUGGGGCAGGCCCAAACUCCCACCCUGACAGCAGGCACAUUUCCAAAAACUCUGCGCACUUCCUCGUCCUACUGGCUCGUGAGAAGAUCCUGUUGUCAGCUGUGCCAACCAGCACAGCAGAAUGUGAUUGUUACGGGCAGCCUGGGAAACAGCAGGGGAAUAACCCUUUCCCCCUUUGGCUGUUAUUUGUUGAGAAAUGCUCUCUGGUGAGUGUUGAGUCAGAGCCUGAUCCACUGAUGGAGCAUCUGGGGAAAGGACCCAGUCAGCCCUGGGAGCACAGGUGAGGGCAGUUCAGUUGUAUGAUGGAAUGAGGGGAGCCUGGCUGCACCUCUCCUAGACCUCACUGAAGGGCUGACUGCGUGGGCGAGGAUCUCUGGUUGGAGAUCCCUCCCUUGUGGAGUUUUCCCUGUGAGCCUGGAUCUUCAGGGACAGGUGAGCACUUUGUCUUGUAACACACUUCUGUUGUGCCAGUCCCUUUGUGGUUACACCUCCUUCCACUGCACUGAUCAUUCUGGUUGUUACAGACAUCCUCUGCCCCUUCCCACCUGUAAAGCAAACAAGGCGAUGACAGAGCCUUUAUUUGAGAUAGAGGAGCUAUAGAACAGGAUAUCAAAGAAAGAGGAAUCGACUCAUCCCUCCCAGCAACAGGUUGGCAGAAAGCGGUGAGCUGAGGAAUGCAGCCUUCUGCGUUUGAACUGUGGUGUGCUGAAAGGUGUUGCCCAGCUUUUGGGGGACUCACUGUGACCUCCCUGUCUCACCAGUGCCUCGUGCACUGGACUUCACAGCAUCUUGACGGAGCCAUUGUGCUUCCCAAGCAGUGCGUGGACCUUUCUGACGGGAGUGAGCAGCAAGGAACCGACUGGGUCUCAGCUUCCUUCCUGCCCUGCGCUUGACUGAGGGACCCUGCGACCAGCUCAGGAGAUUCCUCAGGAGUGGUCUUGGGUCAUCUGGCUUCCACCAAGAGUGCUCCUCUUCUCUCCACAGAU